UCUCCAUUUCUGACUCUUCUGAUAACAGAAUUUAUACACAUUUUCCUAAAUGAUAUCAUCAGCUAGAAAGUCCAGGGCUGGGCCGUCCACUUUCUAAAAUAAAGAUACAGAUACAAAUACAACCAGUCUUGGGCUUUUGUUUUAUGUAUCUUUCUCUUUUCCUUCUAUUUUGGAUAUCUAGUUCUUGGAGUGCUGGUAUCAUUUCCAAAUAUAAUUUUUCUUAUACUUUGACUAUCAUAAUUUGAUAUUAAAGAGACCUCUUCAAUAAUACACUUUAAAAAAUGCUUUUAGAAGCAUUUGAGGAGGCUAAUAAAAAGAAGACACAUUGCUUGUCCUGAGAGAGCAUAAACAGUACCUCAGGUGACACUGGUAAACUUUUACAGGCAAUGAUUUUGUUCUCUCCUUGCAAGGGUGUCUAAUCCAGGGGUAGAUUAUGCUGUGAAAGAGGCCUUCCCACUAAAUGCCCGUGAGAAGGUUAUCCAUUUAAGAAGAACAUCAAAGGUGAACUCGAUCAACACACCUCAAGACAAAAGAUUCAAGCAUGGCAGAUUCAAAGCCUCCAUCUGUUGGGCCCCAAAGUGGAUUGUUUACUCUGACCAUAUGAACAGAUAAUCCCUUUCACUCAGAAUGUUGAACACUGCUUAGGGAAAGAGGCAUAUUUGCACUUGACAGAGAACUGUCAGAACAGGUCUUCAGGGACUCAGGCUGAACAUGGGGGAAGAUUCCUCUAGUACACGGAGUACUUAGAGUAAGUACCAUCACUGCCUAUGUCUAGGCAUCUAUUCCCGAGCCAACCUAUGCAUCGACAGUUGAUCUCACCUUGAGAUCAACACCUUGAACAGUUGAUC
RNAcentral lists this long non-coding RNA (848 nucleotides) under Macaca mulatta (Rhesus monkey). Its description in RNAcentral is "lncRNA (ENSMMUG00000058541.1)". Lineage: Eukaryota; Metazoa; Chordata; Mammalia; Primates; Cercopithecidae. The record is from RNAcentral.